UUUGUAAUGACUAAUUCUUUAAUUACUCAGCAUCAUUUCUACUUGAGAAAAGAACAACUUCAUCCAAUGUUAGUGUGAAUAAAAUAGCCUUGAACAGCC
Long non-coding RNA from Etheostoma cragini (Arkansas darter), 99 nucleotides. RefSeq lists it as uncharacterized. Lineage: Eukaryota; Metazoa; Chordata; Actinopteri; Perciformes; Percidae. The transcript is spliced from 4 exons. The record is from RefSeq and is a predicted model, not a curated record.